RNAcentral lists this non-coding RNA (215 nucleotides) under Gracilibacillus boraciitolerans. Its description in RNAcentral is "T-box sequence". It matches the Rfam family "T-box leader". From Rfam's summary of the family: Uncharged tRNA acts as the effector for transcription antitermination of genes in the T-box leader family. T-boxes are found upstream of many aminoacyl-tRNA synthetase genes and some amino acid biosynthetic genes usually in Gram-positive bacteria. The anticodon of a specific tRNA base pairs to a specifier sequence within the T-box motif, and the NCCA acceptor tail of the tRNA base pairs to a conserved bulge in the T-box antiterminator hairpin. The record is from RNAcentral. Lineage: Bacteria; Bacillati; Bacillota; Bacilli; Caryophanales; Bacillaceae.
AAGAAAGCGAUGAAGGGAACUACUAGCUUAUUUCCUUAUGGAAGAGAGCCGAUGGCUGGUGUGAAUCGGUAUAAGGUAUAAGUGAAUCCAUCCUUGAGUAGUAUACGGAAAACAAAGUACGUAUACUCGGUGAUAAGCCGUUAUCUAAAAAAUGAAGCCGGGAGAAGUCUAUUCUCCAAUCAGGGUGGUAUCGCGGGAAAACUCUCGUCCCUACU